Molecule: ribosomal RNA, 402 nt
Filed under: uncultured bacterium
Lineage: Bacteria
Description: bacterial SSU rRNA
Rfam family: Bacterial small subunit ribosomal RNA
Source: RNAcentral
UGGGGAGUAUUGGACAAUGGGCGAAAGCCUGAUCCAGCCAUGCCGCAUGAGUGAAGAAGGCCUUUGGGUUGUAAAGCUCUUUUAGUGAGGAAGAUAAUGACGGUACUCACAGAAGAAGUCCUGGCUAACUCCGUGCCAGCAGCCGCGGUAAUACGGAGAGGGCUAGCGUUAUUCGGAAUUAUUGGGCGUAAAGGGCGCGUAGGCUGGUUAGUAAGUUAAAAGUGAAAUCCCGAGGCUUAACCUUGGAACUGCUUUUAAAACUGCUAACCUAGAGAUUGAAAGAGGAUAGAGGAAUUCCUAGUGUAGAGGUGAAAUUCGUAAAUAUUAGGAGGAACACCAGUGGCGAAGGCGUCUAUCUGGUUCAAAUCUGACGCUGAGGCGCGAAGGCGUGGGGAGCAAACA